UACGAAGGGGGCUAGCGUUGCUCGGAAUCACUGGGCGUAAAGGGUGCGUAGGCGGGUCUUUUAAGUCAGGGGUGAAAUCCUGGAGCUCAACUCCAGAACUGCCUUUGAUACUGAAGAUCUUGAGUUCGGGAGAGGUGAGUGGAACUGCGAGUGUAGAGGUGAAAUUCGUAGAUAUUCGCAAGAACACCAGUGGCGAAGGCGGCUCACUGGCCCGAUACUGACGCUGAGGCACGAAAGCGUGGGG
RNAcentral lists this ribosomal RNA (244 nucleotides) under uncultured bacterium. RNAcentral's name for it is "partial 16S ribosomal RNA". It matches the Rfam family "Bacterial small subunit ribosomal RNA", at positions 524 to 766 of the family's 1533-position model. The record is from RNAcentral.